Non-coding RNA from Hydra vulgaris (swiftwater hydra), 2400 nucleotides. The record is from RefSeq and is a predicted model, not a curated record. Lineage: Eukaryota; Metazoa; Cnidaria; Hydrozoa; Anthoathecata; Hydridae.
UUUAUUGGCUGUUGACAAUUUCAAGAUAUUUUUUUUUUUUGAUUAUACAAUUUUUUUGUUAUCUUUAUUCCAAUAUGCACAGACUACAGCUGGUAAGUUAUUAUAGCAUACCUUUAUUAACCACUAAUAUUUUAUAAUUGUUAAUAAAAGUUAUUUAAAAUAUUGAUUUUUUGUUACAACAUUGUAAUUUUAGUAUCUACCUCUUGUGCUACACCUGGUAAGUUAAACAACUCUUUUUAAUGUGCACAAAUUUCUCAUUGAUUACAAUAUUGAUUUUUAUAAUAUAUUUUUUACCUUUAGUUCUUUAUACGUGUGGCUACGCCUGUUCCGUCUGUACCACCUUCAAACGGUUGGUGGGUUAAAUAUGAUCAUUUAAAUGAGAAAAAGUAUACUAGUGCAACUUGUAAUCUGGUAAAACAAUUAUGUAUUGUGCUUUCUCUUUUUUAACAAUUGCAUGUGAAAAUGUUGAAAAUGUCAUUUCUAUGUAUUUUUUUUUUAUGUUGGUUGAGGGGAAGGGGGAAAACCAUCCCUCUCUAUAAAUUGUACAUCACUAAUGUAUGUUCUAUUGUAAAAAAAAUAUUGCUUUAUGUAAUACAACAUUUCUUUUAUAACUAUACAACUAUGUUGUAUAGUUAUAAAAGACUAUUUUUUGAGGGGUGAGGUGGUGCAUCAUACUUCCUUUAAUUCAAGUCAAUGUGUACAUCAAUAAUAUAUGUUGAAUAGUAAUAAAAGAUUAUUUUUAAUUUUUAACAAUGCAUUUAAUUAUUGUAAUAAAGAUAAAAUUAAAAAAUUUUCUAAAAAAUUCCCCAAAAUAGUUUAUAUUAUAAUGAAAAAUGACUGUAUUUGCUUUCUGGAAUAUAACAUCCCCCUGUGUAGUGUUUGUAAAUUUCACAAAAAGAAACUGAAAGUCUUACCUAAAAUAUCACAUCCCCUCUAUGAAAACUUUUAAAAUAUUACAUCCACCAAAGUAAUUAUUAAAAUACUUCAAACAAUUUUUAUUUGGCAUCAAGGUUAUAAUAUCCACCAAUUGUUAUUUCUGUAUAUAUCACUAAAAGAAACAGAAGUUCUUCCUUAAAAUAUCACAUCGGGGUUAUGCUUUAAAAGAUUACAUCCCCAAAGUAAUUCAUAUCAUGUUUAAAACAGUUAGUAUUUGGUAUCUAGAAUUUCACAUUCCCUCUGUUUAUCCUUUGUAUAUGUCACAAAAAGAAACUAAAUUUUUAUUUAAAAUAUCACAUCCCCCUUAUGUAUACUUCGAAAACAAUGCAUCCCCCUAAGUAAUGCUUUGCAUUAUUUCAAACGAUUAGUAUUUGGUAUCUAGAAUAUCACAUCCAUCACAUUUAAAUUCUGUAUGUACCACAAAAAGAAACUAAAAUUCUUACUUAAAAUAACACAUCCCCCCUAUGUAAACUUCUAAAGUAUUACAUCGCCCUAAGUAUUUCUUUACAAUAUUUAAAAUAAUUAGUUCCCCCUAUGUAUAUUUCUAAAAUACUAAAUCCCCCUAAGUAAUUUAAACAAUAUUACAAAUUAUUAGUAUUUGGUAUCUUAAACAUCUCAUCCACCUUGUGUAGUCUCUGUAUAUAUCACAAAAGAAACUGAAAUUCUUUCUUAAAAUAUCACAUCCCAUCAAUGUAUACUUUUAAAAUAUUACAUUCCACUAGUAAAUACAUACCAUAUUUAAACGAUUAGUUUUUGGUAUCUGUUUAUUCUCUGUUUAUGUCACAAAAAGACACUGAAACUCUUACUUAUAACAUCACAUUUCCCCCAGGGAAAGUCUUUAAAUAUUACAUCCCCCAAAGUAUUUCAUACAAAAUUUUAACGAUUAGUAUUUGGUAUCUAGAAUAUCUAUGACUUGUAAAUUCUGUAGGUACCACAAAAAACUAAAGUUCUUACUAAAAAUAUCUUCCCAAUGUAUGCUUUUAAAAUACUACAUCCUCCCAAAUAAUUCUUUACAAUAUUUCAAACGAUUAGUGUUUGAUACCUAGAAUAUCACAUCCACAAUUUGUAAUUUCUUAUUUUAAAUAUCAUAUCACCUUAUGCUAGCGAUUCCACAGCUGAGCGAAAAAUAUUUGACGUUUGACGAAAAGCACGAAAUUAUGAAGUUUGCUCUCUUGUAUCUUUUUGUAUAGGAAAGCAAGCAACCUGAGGUUUUUUGCAUCAAUCAGUGUUACUCAACCUCUUUCCAGUCAUAUAUGAAAAGUAUUAUGCGCUAUAUGGCUUCUCUUAAAUGUUAUUCAUAUCUUGAGACCACUUUUGAGAAAUAAUCUUGAUGCGGGAACGUUUUUUUAAAACGAAGCUUUUGGAGGUAAGGAUUCCGAAGUACCAAAACACAUCCAAUUUUUAUAGAACUUUUCGUAUAUAUUAAAAAAAUGUUGAGGAAUCUAAUGGAAUAUGAACACUUUU